Molecule: long non-coding RNA, 374 nt
Filed under: Glycine max (soybean)
Lineage: Eukaryota; Viridiplantae; Streptophyta; Magnoliopsida; Fabales; Fabaceae
Description: long non-coding RNA (GMAX_LNC001327)
Source: RNAcentral
AUAAGAAAUUAGAUCCAAAUUGAUGAUAGCUUAACUUGAAUUCCUUCAUAAAACAAUCCAGUAGGAAUUCCUUUUAUAAAAGAAAUAGGCAAAUGUGCAUACAUGGUGUAAUGGAUAGGUAAAAAUUAAAAACAAAAAUAUAUAUCUUGUCAAUUAACUGUAAAUUGUGAAAUCACCAAAAGUGCAACACUGUGUUUGCUGUAUUUCUCAGCCAAUAAGUCAUUCUUAGUACUACCAACAUCACAACUCUCAGAGUUGAUAAACUUCACCGAUGUCCAUGUUAGAUUGUUCGCACCCACUAUAAGUGGCUUUCCUAAUAGACUUUGGAGUCCUUCAUAUAUCUACAAAAAAAUACACACAGGUAAAUGUUUAUA